UAAUGGGUCAGCGACUUAUAUUCUGUAGCAAGGUUAACCGUAUAGGGGAGCCGCAGGGAAACCGAGUCUUAACUGGGCGUUAAGUUGCAGGGUAUAGACCCGAAACCCGGUGAUCUAGCCAUGGGCAGGUUGAAGGUUGGGUAACACUAACUGGAGGACCGAACCGACUAAUGUUGAAAAAUUAGCGGAUGACUUGUGGCUGGGGGUGAAAGGCCAAUCAAACCGGGAGAUAGCUGGUUCUCCCCGAAAGCUAUUUAGGUAGCGCCUCGUGAACUCAUCUUCGGGGGUAGAGCACUGUUUCGGCUAGGGGGUCAUCCCGACUUACCAACCCGAUGCAAACUACGAAUACCGAAGAAUGUUAUCACGGGAGACACACGGCGGGUGCUAACGUCCGUCGUGAAGAGGGAAACAACCCAGACCGCCAGCUAAGGUCCCAAAGUCAUGGUUAAGUGGGAAACGAUGUGGGAAGGCACAGACAGCCAGGAUGUUGGCUUAGAAGCAGCCAUCAUUUAAAGAAAGCGUAAUAGCUCACUGGUCGAGUCGGCCUGCGCGGAAGAUGUAACGGGGCUAAACCAUGCACCGAAGCUGCGGCAGCGACACUAUGUGUUGUUGGGUAGGGGAGCGUUCUGUAAGCCGUUGAAGGUGGCCUGUGAGGGUUGCUGGAGGUAUCAGAAGUGCGAAUGCUGACAUAAGUAACGAUAAAGCGGGUGAAAAGCCCGCUCGCCGGAAGACCAAGGGUUCCUGUCCAACGUUAAUCGGGGCAGGGUGAGUCGACCCCUAAGGCGAGGCCGAAAGGCGUAGUCGAUGGGAAACAGGUUAAUAUUCCUGUACUCGGUGUUACUGCGAAGGGGGGACGGAGAAGGCUAUGUUAGCCGGGCGACGGUUGUC
Molecule: ribosomal RNA, 888 nt
Filed under: Klebsiella planticola
Lineage: Bacteria; Pseudomonadati; Pseudomonadota; Gammaproteobacteria; Enterobacterales; Enterobacteriaceae
Also listed under: 1 other name
Description: partial 23S ribosomal RNA
Rfam family: Bacterial large subunit ribosomal RNA
Source: RNAcentral